GUAGGGAUGAGCUGGUCACAUGGUCACUAUUUCAAGCUCUAUUACAUAUUUCAUGAUAAAAUCGUGAAAUUUAGAUGGAGGUGAAGUUUUCAACUUGCCUGUUUAUAUCACAAGUGUCUGAAACUAAUUAGAUGUCAGAAUAUUUUGAUGUUUGUUAAUGUUUCCAAUAGUGUGGUCAAAUCAGUUAUCUCUAAAUCAAUUUUC
RNAcentral lists this long non-coding RNA (204 nucleotides) under Mytilus galloprovincialis (Mediterranean mussel). The record is from RNAcentral. Lineage: Eukaryota; Metazoa; Mollusca; Bivalvia; Mytilida; Mytilidae.